UGUUCUGUUUUGUAUUUGAGGGUGUGUUUCAGGAGAUGGCUUCCUGAAGUACUCCCCAACCAGCUGAUUGGUCAACCCCAGGCUAAUUGGUGAUUGGAGCUGACCCCGCCCCCUCGUCAAGAAGCAGCUGACUCUAAUCACCAUUGCCACCUGAAGAUAAAAGCCAGUGUUCUGCCCAAGAGAAGGAGAGGAGAUGAGAUAAGGAGUAGAGAUUUGGAGAUUGAGAGAAAAAUUAGAUUGUGAUAUAGUGUGGGUUGUGUAUCAGAAAGUGUGGUAUGUACUGUUGUUGUUGGUAGCAGUUUUGCUAUGUCCUGUGUUUGUGAGUGUUUGUGAAAUCAUUAAUAAUUACUCUGUUUCGUUUGUUCCCAGGGGGGAAGGAGAAGGCACUUUGGGAGUGUUUAGGCAAGAGGCCCGAGGGCAUACAUAUACCCGUAGUAUAUUUACUGUCUAGGCACACUAGGUAAGACCUGGGCGGACCACCCCCUGUAUUUUGGGUAGGGCACCAGGCGGUGUUAAGUUAGGUAAGUUAAGUGGGUAGGCAGGUUAGAUAGGAGAGGGGGAACUUUGAUAUUUACUUUCUUUGCUUUGGUUCCGUCCAGCCCCUUUUCCCCAUAUUACCGUGUAAGAAAAUAAAUUUGAGUAAAUGGUAAA
Long non-coding RNA from Salvelinus fontinalis (brook trout), 651 nucleotides. RefSeq lists it as uncharacterized. The transcript has 2 exons. The record is from RefSeq and is a predicted model, not a curated record. Lineage: Eukaryota; Metazoa; Chordata; Actinopteri; Salmoniformes; Salmonidae.